RNAcentral lists this ribosomal RNA (253 nucleotides) under uncultured bacterium. Its description in RNAcentral is "partial 16S ribosomal RNA". It matches the Rfam family "Bacterial small subunit ribosomal RNA", at positions 524 to 776 of the family's 1533-position model. The record is from RNAcentral.
UCCGAAGGGGGCUAGCGUUGUUCGGAAUCACUGGGCGUAAAGGGCGCGUAGGCGGCCGAUCAAGUCGGGGGUGAAAGCCUGUGGCUUAACCACAGAAUGGCCUUCGAUACUGUUUGGCUUGAGACCGGAAGAGGUUAGUGGAACUGCGAGUGUAGAGGUGAAAUUCGUAGAUAUUCGCAAGAACACCAGUGGCGAAGGCGGCUGACUGGUCCGGUUCUGACGCUGAGGCGCGAAAGCGUGGGGAGCAAACAGG